AUGAAGCAUGUGGCCGUAAGUGUGCAAUCAGGUAGUAAACUUGUGGGCAGGAGAAAACACUGCGGGCAGGUACAAAGAAAAACGUAAUUUUUUAACUGCAUGAGCGGAGUUAAAAUCACACACACACACACACACACACAUCUGUAGCUGAGACCAAUUUUUCAGUGAAAUGGUUCAUAAUUCUUUUUUUCUUUCUUUCUUUCUUUCUUUCUUUCUUUCUUUCUUUCUUUCUUUCUUUCUUUCUUUCUUUAAAAAAAAAAAACCCAAACCCUUACGGUUAAGGCCGUGCCCACUUCUGGUUUAACUCUCAACACAGACACACAUACAAAUAUUUGGAGCCCCUAACAGAUACAUCUUGCAUUACCUCCGUAAUCUAGAUGAAGUCAAGACCACAGAUUUAGCAUGAACAGAACCAGUGAUGAAAGAUCUUUGCCGUUUGUUUACAAAUACUAAUAAGUUUCCUUCUUCAGCUUCAUCAUAAAAAGGACCCAGAGAGGGCUCUCAUCCAGAGAGUCUAAAAACAGCCACAGGGCACUCCAGCAGCGGGAGGAUGUGCAGCCAUGACAACCCGAGUGUGUUGCACACAAACAUCUCAUGCCGAACACCAGCCAUGUCUAUUAUCACCGUGAUGUCAGGGCUAGAGCCAUCUUCCUCCUGCUCCUGAUAAGAGCUGCCACACGGUCCAAAUGUGCCAGAAGUCCUGCUGCCUUCAAACAACCUAAUCUUAUCUCAGCCUUACUGCAGUGCUGGUUACUGGGUGAAACAACUCAGCAGAAACCUCAUCUUGGCUUCCUGUUGGACAAAGUACACAACAAGGGGUGUAGAAGGGAUUAUUAUAUAGAGACUAGGGAACUAUUUAGGAUUUAACAUUCGACCGUUGCUCCAACUGCCAGCUAACAAACUGCCAUGAGUCAUAAAUCACACUAUUCUCUUUAUAUUUUUUUGUCGGCAGGAAAUGCAGCUGCUUUAUGGUUGUGUAGAUGUAGCCAGUCUUACAUCAGCGUGAAGAGACUGAAAACCCACUCAGAUAUGGAUGAGAGCAGCAGAGGGGAAAAUAAAAUGUGGACAGCAAGAUGAUUAAUAUGCGUCCGCACAGGUUUUAUGAAGCCGAGGCAGCCGAGGCGUGUGUCUGAAAUAGAGCUGGAAACUGGAGCAGGCCUGACCUGCGAGGAACGAAAAAGAAACUCUGGCAACCCUAUCCUCCACAUGUGGCUUUAAAAAGCUUGAACAGCGCUGCCCAGGAGGACCACAGAGCCCCACCGCUGCCAGUCGAGAUGAUAGGGUAACCCAAAGCUCUCUGGAGAGGCUCCAUUUCACCCACAUAGCGCAAUCUCUUCUCUUCUCACCAUCCCUCGCUGCAGUCACCGUGGCACAGCUGUAGAAGAUGCGUGAUCAGGAAAGGGCUGACUGAGUGUUAUUGGAAGAGGCCAAAGGCCCAGGGGAUAGAAUUAAAGCAAGUUCUGUGACGUUUUGGCAACCCUACUCUUAGUGACAGGUACAGUUCAGGGACAUGUUUUUUUGGAAACACAAGUAGGGCACUGUUGAAUCAUAAUGAUCAGCCGUGUCUGAAUAUCUUAUGUCCCAUGAGAGGGCUCAUUAUAAGAACCCCAGAAGGUGUGAAAAGAGGGCUUAGUCUGUAUUUGGCAACAACAUAUCAGCGAGAAAGAGGGAUUCCACUGUGGCUAAACUGUUUCCCUGGUUACAAGGGCUAAACCAGGCCUACAUCCUGUCUCAAGCUAAACAUGGCGUUUCAGUAAGAAUGGACAGAUAUAGCGGGAGAAGUGUGUUUGAUGAUGGGUGACAAUUUAAAGCAAAAAGCAACAGUGUUUAAUUGGGCCACCAUGAGCUGUCCAGAGAGCUUCACUGGCACAGAUUCUAGAGGUUUCUAGAAGUAGGAGGGGUGGAAACUGUCCUUCCCUAGCAUAUUCCCUCAGUUGGUGAUGGUAGGUGGUGGUGAAUAUCUCAAUCUCAUCUCUCAUAGGUGUUCAUUAGGUUUUAGGCUAAAGUGUGAAGGCUAAAGGAUAACAUCAUUAGACCAUUCAGUGAGCCCUGGUGUCCUGUGGACGGAGGUGGGAUCAAAUUCUAAACUAAUGCUCUCCUUACCCAGUCACCCAGUCUUGGUAGAUGUCCUCUUGUAGACAGAGCAGUCAUGGUUUUGCCAUAUUUUUCAUAUCUGUAACUCACCGGUAUACAGAUGUUGGAUGACCUUGAGCAAGGCCCUUAACCCUGAACUGCUCAGCUGUAUAACUGAGAUAAAUGUAAAUGUAAGUAAGUAAAUGUAAAUGUAAAUAUUGUUGUAGUAAUGGAUUUAAUGCAGCUCUAUUCAAUCCCUGAUCAAUAUUUUUUCCAAAGAUUGUUCUGGCAAAACUUGUGUUAUUGCAUGCAGGUUAAGUCUGUUCAACUAAUUGUGUUUUAUGGUGGUGACUGGUUUCACCAGAACUAAUUUAGGUGAAUACAUUCAAAAAUUGUAUGAUGAUGAUGAUGAUGAUGAUGAUUAUAUUAUUAUUAUUAUUAUUAUUAUUAUUAUUAUUAUUAUUAUUAUUAUUAUUUCCUCUACACUUCAGUGUUAUGGAUUAUGGAGCAUGUUGCUAUGUAACGUAUAUUUGUAUACAGUCUUCUACAAUCACCACUUAUUCCACAAUUCCACUUAUUAUCAUAUGCCACAGUCAUAAUGAUGUGCUUGAAUGGAGGAGUCUGUUGCAAGAUCAACAGACCUAUUCAGACUGAGCCUCCAGCUGCACUGCCACUUAUCAUAUCUGUAUAUGGAUGAUGGCACUACAUAUAGCACCCUGUUAAGCAUGUAGCAGGUUACAGGUCUGCGUAGACAAACAAUAAUAGUACCUUCAACUACA
Long non-coding RNA from Hemibagrus wyckioides, 2852 nucleotides. RefSeq lists it as uncharacterized. The record is from RefSeq and is a predicted model, not a curated record. NCBI's taxonomy places the organism in Eukaryota, Metazoa, Chordata, Actinopteri, Siluriformes, Bagridae. The transcript is spliced from 4 exons.